GAUGACGCGGCGGCGUGCUUACACUGCAAGUCGAACGGAAAGGCCACAGCUGCUGUGGUACUCGAGUGGCGAACGGGUGAGUAACACGUGGGUGAUCUGCCCUGUACUUCGGGAUAAGCUUGGGAAACUGGGUCUAAUACCGGAUAGGAAUCACAUGUGGAUGUGUGGUUGGAAAGCUUUUGCGGUAUGGGAUGAGCUCGCGGCCUAUCAGCUUGUUGGUGGGGUAAUGGCCUACCAAGGCGUCGACGGGUAGCCGGCCUGAGAGGGUGUACGGCCACAUUGGGACUGAGAUACGGCCCAGACUCCUACGGGAGGCAGCAGUGGGGAAUAUUGCACAAUGGGCGCAAGCCUGAUGCAGCGACGCCGCGUGGGGGAUGACGGCCUUCGGGUUGUAAACUCCUUUCGUCAGGGACGAAGCGAAAGUGACGGUACCUGGAUAAGAAGCACCGGCUAACUACGUGCCAGCAGCCGCGGUAAUACGUAGGGUGCGAGCGUUGUCCGGAAUUACUGGGCGUAAAGAGCUCGUAGGUGGUUUGUCGCGUCGUUUGUGUAAGUCCACGGCUUAACUGUGGGAUGGCAGGCGAUACGGGCAUAACUUGAGUGCUGUAGGGGAGACUGGAAUUCCUGGUGUAGCGGUGAAAUGCGCAGAUAUCAGGAGGAACACCGAUGGCGAAGGCAGGUCUCUGGGCAGUAACUGACGCUGAGGAGCGAAAGCAUGGGUAGCGAACAGGAUUAGAUACCCUGGUAGUCCAUGCCGUAAACGGUGGGCGCUAGGUGUGAGUCCCUUCCACGGGGUUCGUGCCGUAGCUAACGCAUUAAGCGCCCCGCCUGGGGAGUACGGCCGCAAGGCUAAAACUCAAAGGAAUUGACGGGGGCCCGCACAAGCGGCGGAGCAUGUGGAUUAAUUCGAUGCAACGCGAAGAACCUUACCUGGGCUUGACAUACACCAGAUCGGCGCAGAGAUGCGUUUUCCCUUGUGGUUGGUGUACAGGUGGUGCAUGG
RNAcentral lists this ribosomal RNA (1002 nucleotides) under Corynebacterium sp. RNAcentral describes it as "bacterial SSU rRNA". It matches the Rfam family "Bacterial small subunit ribosomal RNA", at positions 28 to 1048 of the family's 1533-position model. Lineage: Bacteria; Bacillati; Actinomycetota; Actinomycetes; Mycobacteriales; Corynebacteriaceae. The record is from RNAcentral.